RNAcentral lists this ribosomal RNA (253 nucleotides) under uncultured bacterium. RNAcentral describes it as "partial 16S ribosomal RNA". It matches the Rfam family "Bacterial small subunit ribosomal RNA", at positions 524 to 776 of the family's 1533-position model. The record is from RNAcentral.
UACGUAGGGGGCAAGCGUUGUCCGGAAUCAUUGGGCGUAAAGAGCGUGUAGGCGGCCCGGUAAGUCCGCCGUGAAAGUCCAGGGCUCAACCCUGGAAUGCCGGUGGAUACUGUCGGGCUAGAGUACGGAAGAGGCGAGUGGAAUUCCCGGUGUAGCGGUGAAAUGCGCAGAUAUCGGGAGGAACACCAAUUGCGAAGGCAGCUCGCUGGGACGUCACUGACGCUGAGACGCGAAAGCGUGGGGAGCAAACGGG